RNAcentral lists this long non-coding RNA (353 nucleotides) under Cavia porcellus (domestic guinea pig). RNAcentral describes it as "lncRNA (ENSCPOG00000036536.1)". The record is from RNAcentral. Lineage: Eukaryota; Metazoa; Chordata; Mammalia; Rodentia; Caviidae.
UCCCUCAGGCACCCAUUCCCUGCCCACCACUCCGUUCUGCUCCUUGCAGAAGAAUGAGCGAGAAACGAAGUGGCUGGAACAGUAUCAGGCACAGCAGCCGAAGGCUGCCCUGAGACGGUUCCAGGUCCUGCUGCAGAAGAUGAAGGCGCUGGAGGACACCGCACGGCACCAUGAGAAGGUGCUAGAAAAGAUGGAGCAGGUGCUGGAGGACCAGCUGCUGCAGGAGAGAAAGGAGCACCGCGCCCCCCAGCAGGCGGCUGGGAAAGCCGCACGCAGGAUCUCCUGGCCAGUACUACAGACAAGUUUAACCUCAUGGCCAAGAUGGAGCAGGUGCAGAGCCGUAUAAAAGCCAG